CUCCUACGGGAGACAGCAGUAGGGAAUCGUUGCGCAAUGGGCGAAAGCCUAGACGCAGCCAUGCCGCGUGAAUGGAUGAAGGUCUUAGGAUUGUAAAAUUACCUUUCACGCGGGGAAGAUAACUGACUUGUACCCGCAGAAGAAGCUCCGGCUAACUUCGUGCCAGCCGCCGCGGUAAUUC
RNAcentral lists this ribosomal RNA (181 nucleotides) under uncultured bacterium. Its description in RNAcentral is "partial 16S ribosomal RNA". It matches the Rfam family "Bacterial small subunit ribosomal RNA", at positions 336 to 526 of the family's 1533-position model. The record is from RNAcentral.